Molecule: ribosomal RNA, 1373 nt
Filed under: uncultured bacterium
Lineage: Bacteria
Description: bacterial SSU rRNA
Rfam family: Bacterial small subunit ribosomal RNA
Source: RNAcentral
GAUGAACGCUGGCGGCGUGCCUAAUACAUGCAAGUCGAGCGAACGGACGAGAAGCUUGCUUCUCUGAUGUUAGCGGCGGACGGGUGAGUAACACGUGGAUAACCUACCUAUAAGACUGGGAUAACUUCGGGAAACCGGAGCUAAUACCGGAUAAUAUUUUGAACCGCAUGGUUCAAAAGUGAAAGACGGUCUUGCUGUCACUUAUAGAUGGAUCCGCGCUGCAUUAGCUAGUUGGUAAGGUAACGGCUUACCAAGGCAACGAUGCAUAGCCGACCUGAGAGGGUGAUCGGCCACACUGGAACUGAGACACGGUCCAGACUCCUACGGGAGGCAGCAGUAGGGAAUCUUCCGCAAUGGGCGAAAGCCUGACGGAGCUACGCCGCGUGAGUGAUGAAGGUCUUCGGAUCGUAAAACUCUGUUAUUAGGGAAGAACAUAUGUGUAAGUAACUGUGCACAUCUUGACGGUACCUAAUCAGAAAGCCACGGCUAACUACGUGCCAGCAGCCGCGGUAAUACGUAGGUGGCAAGCGUUAUCCGGAAUUAUUGGGCGUAAAGCGCGCGUAGGCGGUUUUUUAAGUCUGAUGUGAAAGCCCACGGCUCAACCGUGGAGGGUCAUUGGAAACUGGAAAACUUGAGUGCAGAAGAGGAAAGUGGAAUUCCAUGUGUAGCGGUGAAAUGCGCAGAGAUAUGGAGGAACACCAGUGGCGAAGGCGACUUUCUGGUCUGUAACUGACGCUGAUGUGCGAAAGCGUGGGGAUCAAACAGGAUUAGAUACCCUGGUAGUCCACGCCGUAAACGAUGAGUGCUAAGUGUUAGGGGGUUUCCGCCCCUUAGUGCUGCAGCUAACGCAUUAAGCACUCCGCCUGGGGAGUACGACCGCAAGGUUGAAACUCAAAGGAAUUGACGGGGACCCGCACAAGCGGUGGAGCAUGUGGUUUAAUUCGAAGCAACGCGAAGAACCUUACCAAAUCUUGACAUCCUUUGACAACUCUAGAGAUAGAGCCUUCCCCUUCGGGGGGGCAAAGUGACAGGUGGUGCAUGGUUGUCGUCAGCUCGUGUCGUGAGAUGUUGGGUUAAGUCCCGCAACGAGCGCAACCCUUAAGCUUAGUUGCCAUCAUUAAGUUGGGCACUCUAAGUUGACUGCCGGUGACAAACCGGAGGAAGGUGGGGAUGACGUCAAAUCAUCAUGCCCCUUAUGAUUUGGGCUACACACGUGCUACAAUGGACAAUACAAAGGGCAGCGAAACCGCGAGGUCAAGCAAAUCCCAUAAAGUUGUUCUCAGUUCGGAUUGUAGUCUGCAACUCGACUACAUGAAGCUGGAACCGCUAGUAAUCGUAGAUCAGCAUGCUACGGUGAAUACGUUCCCGGGUCU